GAGUGGAGGAGGGAGGGAGGGACUAAACAAGAGGGGAGAGAAAGAGAGGGGAAGAGGGAGAGAAAGACAGGGCAAAACAGUUUGAAAAAGAGAGAGGGGAGGAACAGAUGGGGGAGACUGAACCAUAGAAGUGAGAGAGAGGGGAGAAGGGGGAGCCUCAUUCAGAGCAGCUAGUGUGCAGAGCAGGGAAGAACUUACUUGGUGUGGGAAAGUAAAUAGUGCAGGAUAUUUCCAGUCUACUCUGCCUGAGGCUGGAGCCCUAGCAGCUUCAAAAGCAGACAGGGUGAUAAGUAUGAGGAACCUGUCAGUAUAGAAGCAGGACGUUCAUGGGAAGUAACCUUAAAAGCCCAAAGGGAGUAACUGAAGCUUGUUAGUGGAACUACUGAGGACCAGAAGACAAUACACAGCUGAGGCCUUCCCACUCCUGGAAGCCCUAGGGAAUGGUGUUACAGCUGUUUGAAAAGACUGCCUGAAAUUUCAGCCUGUUUUGGU
Molecule: long non-coding RNA, 492 nt
Filed under: Salmo salar (Atlantic salmon)
Lineage: Eukaryota; Metazoa; Chordata; Actinopteri; Salmoniformes; Salmonidae
Description: lncRNA (ENSSSAG00000103434.1)
Source: RNAcentral